This 1030-nucleotide ribosomal RNA is filed under the name Leifsonia sp. RNAcentral describes it as "bacterial SSU rRNA". It matches the Rfam family "Bacterial small subunit ribosomal RNA", at positions 68 to 1096 of the family's 1533-position model. Lineage: Bacteria; Bacillati; Actinomycetota; Actinomycetes; Micrococcales; Microbacteriaceae. The record is from RNAcentral.
GAUGAAGCAGAGCUUGCUCUGUGGAUUAGUGGCGAACGGGUGAGUAACACGUGAGUAACCUGCCCUUGACUCUGGAAUAAGCGUUGGAAACGACGUCUAAUACCGGAUACGAGCUUCCGCCGCAUGGUGAGGAGUUGGAAAGAAUUUCGGUCAAGGAUGGACUCGCGGCCUAUCAGGUAGUUGGUGAGGUAAUGGCUCACCAAGCCUACGACGGGUAGCCGGCCUGAGAGGGUGACCGGCCACACUGGAACUGAGACACGGUCCAGACUCCUACGGGAGGCAGCAGUGGGGAAUAUUGCACAAUGGGCGCAAGCCUGAUGCAGCAACGCCGCGUGAGGGACGACGGCCUUCGGGUUGUAAACCUCUUUUAGUAGGGAAGAAGCGAUGUGCUUGUCACAUCAUGACGGUACCUGCAGAAAAAGCACCGGCUAACUACGUGCCAGCAGCCGCGGUAAUACGUAGGGUGCAAGCGUUAUCCGGAAUUAUUGGGCGUAAAGAGCUCGUAGGCGGUUUGUCGCGUCUGCUGUGAAAACUGGAGGCUCAACCUCCAGCCUGCAGUGGGUACGGGCAGACUAGAGUGCGGUAGGGGAGAUUGGAAUUCCUGGUGUAGCGGUGGAAUGCGCAGAUAUCAGGAGGAACACCAAUGGCGAAGGCAGAUCUCUGGGCCGUAACUGACGCUGAGGAGCGAAAGCAUGGGGAGCGAACAGGAUUAGAUACCCUGGUAGUCCAUGCCGUAAACGUUGGGAACUAGAUGUAGGGACCAUUCCACGGUUUCUGUGUCGCAGCUAACGCAUUAAGUUCCCCGCCUGGGGAGUACGGCCGCAAGGCUAAAACUCAAAGGAAUUGACGGGGGCCCGCACAAGCGGCGGAGCAUGCGGAUUAAUUCGAUGCAACGCGAAGAACCUUACCAAGACUUGACAUAUACGAGAACGGGCUAGAAAUAGUUCACUCUUUGGACACUCGUAAACAGGUGGUGCAUGGUUGUCGUCAGCUCGUGUCGUGAAAUGUUGGGUUAAGUCCCGCAACGAAG